AGUCUUCUCCCUCAUGAGACAUUUGUGAUGAAGAGCUUCAGAAAUGAAUAGUUUGAACAUAUGAGUCUCCUCCUCCUGACUGCAGAGGAGCUUCAUGACAGAGACCUGUGUGAUUGAAGCUGUGAUCAUCAGACCAAACACAGCUCACCAAAGUGACUCCUACUGAUCCUUCAGUUCCAGCAUUUCUCUCUGCUAACAUGGACAAACUUGCUGCUGCUGCUGUGUUCAUGGUGUUAACUCUCCUUGGUAACACCUUGGAGGAUGAUAUUACUGCCAGCAGUGCUGAAGUGUUGUCAUCAGAGGGUGAUGAUGUUACUCUGUCCUGUAACUACUCAGUUAAAGCUGAUAAUCUCCAGUGGUAUCAACAGGAUCCUGGAUCACCUCCUAAGUUCCUUCUCCUGAUCACAGAUACCCAAGACCCUUAUGUGGUGACAGCUAAACCUCCACACCCUGGACUGACUGUGAACCUGAAUGAGGAGAGGAAUAGAGUCAACCUCCAGAUCUCCUCUGCUGCACUGAGUGACUCUGCUGUGUACUACUGUGCUGUGAGGCCCACAGUGACAGGAAACACCAACACUCUGUACAAAAACACAACGUGUCUCUCUGACAUGCUGCUAACAGCUUCUGCUUGUGUUGAUACUUUUACCUCCACCAGAGGGAGACAUCAUCAAGUAGUUCAUACUCCACAUCAACACUGAGUUCAUCCAUUGGCUCAUUCUGAACUGCUGCUGAGAAGAGAAGUACUGUCACACUGACAGACUGACAAACUUCAGCUAGUUCCUCCUGUUGAUUGAAUCCUUGUUGUAGAGAUGGAGCGUUGGCUGUGGAUCAUUCUGGCUGCUCUUUU
This is a non-coding RNA of Notolabrus celidotus (New Zealand spotty), 847 nucleotides long. The record is from the annotation of a RefSeq genome assembly. NCBI's taxonomy places the organism in Eukaryota, Metazoa, Chordata, Actinopteri, Labriformes, Labridae.